UGCGCUUUAGAUUUUAUGAGAGUUCUUCUGCAAGAAAGCGAACUGUGACUGCUGAAGAAAGAGAAAGGGCAAUAAAUGCAGCCAAAGCUUUUGAGCCUAUUAAUCCUUUUUGUAGGGUUGUCCUGCGACCAUCUUACCUAUACAGGGGUUGCAUUAUGUAUUUGCCUUCUUGCUUUGCUGAGAAGAAUUUAAAUGGGGUAUCAGGGUUUAUUAAACUCCAGUUUUCUGAUGGGAAACAAUGGCCUGUCCGAUGCCUAUAUAGGGGAGGUAGAGCUAAAUUAAGCCAAGGGUGGUAUGAAUUCACAUUG
Molecule: unclassified non-coding RNA, 308 nt
Filed under: Hevea brasiliensis (rubber tree)
Lineage: Eukaryota; Viridiplantae; Streptophyta; Magnoliopsida; Malpighiales; Euphorbiaceae
Source: RNAcentral